UACGGAGGGGACUAGCGUUGUUCGGGAUUACUGGGCGUAAAGCGCACGUAGGCGGAUUUGUAAGUCAGGGGUGAAAUCCCGGGGACUCAACCUCGGAACUGCCUUUGAUACUGCAAAUCUCGAGUCCGGAAGAGGUGAGUGGAAUUCCUAGGUGUAGAGGUGAAAGUUCGUAGAUAGUUAGGAAAGAACACCAGUGGCGAAGGCGGCUCACGUGUCCGGUACGUGACGGCUGAGGUGGCGAAAGCGUGGGAGCAACAG
RNAcentral lists this ribosomal RNA (258 nucleotides) under uncultured bacterium. RNAcentral's name for it is "partial 16S ribosomal RNA". It matches the Rfam family "Bacterial small subunit ribosomal RNA", at positions 524 to 775 of the family's 1533-position model. The record is from RNAcentral.